UACAGAGGGGGCAAGCGUUGUUCGGAAUUACUGGGCGUAAAGGGCGCGUAGGCGGCCUGCUAAGUCGAACGUGAAAUCCCCGAGCUCAACUCGGGAACUGCGUCCGAUACUGGAAGGCUUGAAUCCGGGAGAGGGAUGCGGAAUUCCAGGUGUAGCGGUGAAAUGCGUAGAUAUCUGGAGGAACACCGGUGGCGAAGGCGGCAUCCUGGACCGGUAUUGACGCUGAGGCGCGAAAGCCAGGGGAGCAAACGGG
Molecule: ribosomal RNA, 253 nt
Filed under: uncultured bacterium
Lineage: Bacteria
Description: partial 16S ribosomal RNA
Rfam family: Bacterial small subunit ribosomal RNA
Source: RNAcentral